This 2915-nucleotide ribosomal RNA is filed under the name Aeromonas veronii. RNAcentral describes it as "23S ribosomal RNA". It matches the Rfam family "Bacterial large subunit ribosomal RNA". Lineage: Bacteria; Pseudomonadati; Pseudomonadota; Gammaproteobacteria; Aeromonadales; Aeromonadaceae. The record is from RNAcentral.
GUUGUAUGGUUAAGUGACUAAGCGUACAUGGUGGAUGCCUUGGCAGUCAGAGGCGAUGAAGGACGUACUAACCUGCGAUAAGCUGUGAGAAGUCGGUAAGAGACGCUAUUACUCACAGAUUUCCGAAUGGGGAAACCCACCCGAGAUAACUCGGGUAUCUGUUACUGAAUACAUAGGUAACAGAGGCGAACCGGGAGAACUGAAACAUCUAAGUACCCCGAGGAAAAGAAAUCAACCGAGAUUCCCUCAGUAGCGGCGAGCGAACGGGGAUUAGCCCUUAAGCAUCUUGGAAGUUAGUGGAACGGUCCUGGAAAGGCCGGCGAUACAGGGUGAUAGCCCCGUACACGAAAACAACCUUGAUGUGAAAUCGAGUAGGGCGGGACACGUGACAUCCUGUCUGAAUAUGGGGGGACCAUCCUCCAAGGCUAAAUACUCCUGACUGACCGAUAGUGAACCAGUACCGUGAGGGAAAGGCGAAAAGAACCCCUGUGAGGGGAGUGAAAUAGAACCUGAAACCGUGUACGUACAAGCAGUGGGAGCCCUUCGGGGUGACUGCGUACCUUUUGUAUAAUGGGUCAGCGACUUACAUUUUGUAGCGAGGUUAACCGUAUAGGGGAGCCGUAGGGAAACCGAGUCUUAACUGGGCGUCUAGUUGCAAGGUGUAGACCCGAAACCGGGUGAUCUAGCCAUGGGCAGGUUGAAGGUUGAGUAACAUCAACUGGAGGACCGAACCCACUAACGUUGCAAAGUUAGGGGAUGACCUGUGGCUGGGGGUGAAAGGCCAAUCAAACUCGGAGAUAGCUGGUUCUCCCCGAAAGCUAUUUAGGUAGCGCCUCGGACGAAUACUACUGGGGGUAGAGCACUGUUUGGGCUAGGGGGUCAUCCCGACUUACCAACCCCAUGCAAACUCCGAAUACCAGUAAGUAAUAUCCGGGAGACACACGGCGGGUGCUAACGUCCGUCGUGAAGAGGGAAACAACCCAGACCGCCGGCUAAGGUCCCAAAGUUCUGGUUAAGUGGGAAACGAUGUGGGAAGGCUCAGACAGCUAGGAUGUUGGCUUAGAAGCAGCCAUCAUUUAAAGAAAGCGUAAUAGCUCACUAGUCGAGUCGGCCUGCGCGGAAGAUGUAACGGGGCUCAAACCAGGCACCGAAGCCGCGGAUUUGCACUUAGUGCAAGUGGUAGGGGAGCGUUCUGUAAGUCUGCGAAGGUGUAUCGAGAGGUAUGCUGGAGAUAUCAGAAGUGCGAAUGCUGACGUAAGUAACGAUAAAGGGGGUGAAAAGCCUCCUCGCCGGAAGACCAAGGGUUCCUGUCCAACGUUAAUCGGGGCAGGGUGAGUCGACCCCUAAGGCGAGGCCGAAAGGCGUAGUCGAUGGGAAGCAGGUUAAUAUUCCUGCACGACUUGUAAUUGCGAUGGGGGGACGGAGAAGGCUAGGUGGGCUAGGCGACGGUUGUCCUGGUGAAAGUGCGUAGGUGGUGUUUCUAGGCAAAUCCGGAGACACAACACUGAGACACGAGACGAACACACUACGGUGUGGAAGCCAUUGAUGCCCUGCUUCCAGGAAAAGCCUCUAAGCUUCAGAUUACAAGUCAUCGUACCCCAAACCGACACAGGUGGUCGGGUAGAGAAUACCAAGGCGCUUGAGAGAACUCGGGUGAAGGAACUAGGCAAAAUAGUACCGUAACUUCGGGAGAAGGUACGCUCUUGUUGGUGAAGUCCCUUGCGGAUGGAGCUGACGGGAGUCGCAGUGACCAGAUGGCUGGGACUGUUUAUCAAAAACACAGCACUCUGCAAACACGAAAGUGGACGUAUAGGGUGUGACACCUGCCCGGUGCCGGAAGGUUAAUUGAUGGGGUUAGCGCAAGCGAAGCUCUUGAUCGAAGCCCCGGUAAACGGCGGCCGUAACUAUAACGGUCCUAAGGUAGCGAAAUUCCUUGUCGGGUAAGUUCCGACCUGCACGAAUGGUGUAACCAUGGCCAUGCUGUCUCCACCCGAGACUCAGUGAAAUCGAAUUCGCCGUGAAGAUGCGGUGUACCCGCGGCUAGACGGAAAGACCCCGUGAACCUUUACUACAGCUUGGCACUGAACAUUGAACCUACAUGUGUAGGAUAGGUGGGAGGCUUUGAAGGCGUGACGCCAGUUGCGCUGGAGCCGUCCUUGAAAUACCACCCUUGUAUGUUUGAUGUUCUAACGCAGGGCCCUGAAUCGGGCUCGCGGACAGUGCCUGGUGGGUAGUUUGACUGGGGCGGUCUCCUCCCAAAGAGUAACGGAGGAGCACGAAGGUUGGCUAAUCCUGGUCGGACAUCAGGAGGUUAGUGCAAUGGCAUAAGCCAGCUUAACUGCGAGACGGACAGGUCGAGCAGGUACGAAAGUAGGUCAUAGUGAUCCGGUGGUUCUGAAUGGAAGGGCCAUCGCUCAACGGAUAAAAGGUACUCCGGGGAUAACAGGCUGAUACCGCCCAAGAGUUCAUAUCGACGGCGGUGUUUGGCACCUCGAUGUCGGCUCAUCACAUCCUGGGGCUGAAGUCGGUCCCAAGGGUAUGGCUGUUCGCCAUUUAAAGUGGUACGCGAGCUGGGUUCAGAACGUCGUGAGACAGUUCGGUCCCUAUCUGCCGUGGGCGUUGGAUGAUUGAAGGGAGUUGCUCCUAGUACGAGAGGACCGGAGUGAACGAACCUCUGGUGUUCGGGUUGUCACGCCAGUGGCACUGCCCGGUAGCUAAGUUCGGAAUCGAUAACCGCUGAAAGCAUCUAAGCGGGAAGCGAGCCCUGAGAUGAGUCAUCCCUGACCCCUUGAGGGUCCUAAAGGGCCGUUGGAGACCACAACGUUGAUAGGUGGGGUGUGUAAGCGCGGCGACGUGUUGAGCUAACCCAUACUAAUUACCCGUGAGGCUUAACCAUACAACACCCAAGAAGUGUU